RNAcentral lists this small nucleolar RNA (106 nucleotides) under Phaseolus vulgaris (common bean). RNAcentral describes it as "Plant small nucleolar RNA R71". It matches the Rfam family "Plant small nucleolar RNA R71". Rfam says of the family: R71 is a member of the C/D box family of snoRNAs containing the C (UGAUGA) and D (CUGA) box motifs. The record is from Rfam by way of RNAcentral. Lineage: Eukaryota; Viridiplantae; Streptophyta; Magnoliopsida; Fabales; Fabaceae.
AACCCAUGAUUUGGGCAUUUUCUCAAUAUCAUCUUAAAUUUUUCCCAUGUCUCAGAAAAAGACUCUUCUGCUCCUUGUCUAAACAUAGAGAUUUCAGACUUAGUUU